GCAUUCGCAAAGGCACUGGUUUUAAUGACUAAUAAAUCACGAACAAACUGCAGUUGGCAGUCAUGUGAUUGCAGCGGAAUUAUAAUGUACUUUCUUUUAGGGGUUUCCAAAUCCAAGUUUUAUUGCGAUAACCGUGUAACGCACUUCGGUAAAUGGGCAACUAUAUAUGUAUAUGUUUAUGUUUAAAAGUAAAAACAAAAAGUAGUAAAGCAACUAUCACGGUCUUAAAUUCCCCAGACCUUCUUUGUGUUUUAAUGCUUUUAUUACCGUUCUUCGUUAAUCACAUAAGUUAGCGUUCAAUACGUGUACUUUCUUUGAGGGUCCUAUAAAAAUAAUCAAGAUAAGACGUUCUUCGUUCAACUUUAAUGUCACAUAAGAACUGGUCUAACAGUACAGAGAUUUAGCUGCCCUCAAAGACUGAUAUCUAUAGCGCGAAGAGACAUUGUUGCAUAAUACACGAAAUGGGGAGUCCAUGGAACCAAUUCGGAACUCAUAAUGCCAAGGCACGCGAGCCGGCUCAACGAACGGGGUCGUUUUGAAUUGAGUUCCGAGCGGUUAGGAAAUUAAAAAUAAUAAGUUAAUUGCCUGAUUAGAAUAAUUUUCCGCUUCAUGUAUGUAAGGCUCGGUGCUUUUGUGGCUGAGUGUCAUAAACGAUAUCUAAAAGGCAAAAGCUCUCGGGGAAUGGUUGUGGGGUUUCGCUGGUUUUGUGCGGAUGGUUCUGACUAUCUCGUAAAUUAGUCUUGUGACAAACGAUGACAGUGCGGAUUGGCUUGUUGCUCUGUGCAAACAAUCCCACCCACAACCACACACCCUUCCCGCAAGAUCGAUUAAACUUUGACAAAGUUGCGAUUAUAUUGACAAACUGGCGGCCUUGGCGUUGACAGUCGGUGACGUCACUGGUACUGGCUGGCACAAAGAAAUAGAACAGAGAAAACCUUUCGUUUUCAGGGUCAUACGGCGUACCAAAGUCGAAAAACAGCCCAACUGACCCGCAAGCCAAUGUCAAUGAUGCACUAAAUCUGUGCCAGAAAUUCCUUGCCUACAUCUGACUUUGUAUAUAUCUGACUAUACAUAUAUGCAGCUAUAUGUGUACAAACAUAUGUAUGCAUAUAUGUAUGUAUGUUGGUUCGAUACAUUCAAUUUCACUUUGCCGCAGAGCGAGUGAAAACUAAAAGCAAAACAAACCGACAACAGACAGUAUAUUUACGACCUAUACUGUAUGCGAAAAUUCUGUAUAUAUGUAUAUUUAAAUAAUAGAUAAAAAAAACUAGGGGCGAACAAAAAGAAUCGCUUGCUUAGUUUCAUUGACAAUUCUUUUCUGAUAACUCUUCAAAAAUAUUCCUAUAAAAAGAACUUGAAAAUAAUCAAUAAAAAUUAACCAAGAAUAUGUUUAAAUUUCCAAAGUUUGGAAGCUAAAGCUUUACUGAUUUGUGAUCCUGGCCUAUAUUUUCCAUUAUAGCAUUCCAACUUACCAAUGACGGAAACGCACUUCUCGUUCACAACACCACUGGGCAGGAGAUGGAAGUCGAACUCCGUGCCAUUAGCCACCACAGUGUGUCCAGCGUUAUUGCCGC
Molecule: long non-coding RNA, 1574 nt
Organism: Drosophila teissieri
Lineage: Eukaryota; Metazoa; Arthropoda; Insecta; Diptera; Drosophilidae
Exons: 3
Source: RefSeq, a predicted model, not a curated record